CGCCCUUCAGAGGGGGACAACAGUUGGAAACGACUGCUAAUACCGCAUACGAUUCAAUCUCGGCAUCGAGACUGGAUGAAAGGUGGCCUCUAUUUAUAAGCUAUCACUGAAGGAGGGGAUUGCGUCUGAUUAGCUAGUUGGAGGGGUAACGGCCCACCAAGGCGAUGAUCAGUAGCCGGUCUGAGAGGAUGAACGGCCACAUUGGGACUGAGACACGGCCCAG
This 223-nucleotide ribosomal RNA is filed under the name uncultured bacterium. RNAcentral describes it as "partial 16S ribosomal RNA". It matches the Rfam family "Bacterial small subunit ribosomal RNA", at positions 127 to 334 of the family's 1533-position model. The record is from RNAcentral.